Molecule: ribosomal RNA, 2905 nt
Filed under: Salmonella enterica
Lineage: Bacteria; Pseudomonadati; Pseudomonadota; Gammaproteobacteria; Enterobacterales; Enterobacteriaceae
Also listed under: 1 other name
Description: bacterial LSU rRNA
Rfam family: Bacterial large subunit ribosomal RNA
Source: RNAcentral
UUAAGCGACCAAGCGUACACGGUGGAUGCCCUGGCAGUCAGAGGCGAUGAAGGACGUGCUAAUCUGCGAUAAGCGCCGGUAAGGUGAUAUGAACCGUUAUAACCGGCGAUUUCCGAAUGGGGAAACCCAGUGUGAUUCGUCACACUAUCAUUAACUGAAUCCAUAGGUUAAUGAGGCGAACCGGGGGAACUGAAACAUCUAAGUACCCCGAGGAAAAGAAAUCAACCGAGAUUCCCCCAGUAGCGGCGAGCGAACGGGGAGGAGCCCAGAGCCUGAAUCAGCAUGUGUGUUAGUGGAAGCGUCUGGAAAGGCGCGCGAUACAGGGUGACAGCCCCGUACACAAAAGCGCAUGUGCUGUGAGCUCGAUGAGUAGGGCGGGACACGUGGUAUCCUGUCUGAAUAUGGGGGGACCAUCCUCCAAGGCUAAAUACUCCUGACUGACCGAUAGUGAACCAGUACCGUGAGGGAAAGGCGAAAAGAACCCCGGCGAGGGGAGUGAAACAGAACCUGAAACCGUGUACGUACAAGCAGUGGGAGCACAGGUUUACCUGUGUGACUGCGUACCUUUUGUAUAAUGGGUCAGCGACUUAUAUUCUGUAGCAAGGUUAACCGCAUAGGGGAGCCGAAGGGAAACCGAGUCUUAAUUGGGCGUUAAGUUGCAGGGUAUAGACCCGAAACCCGGUGAUCUAGCCAUGGGCAGGUUGAAGGUUGGGUAACACUAACUGGAGGACCGAACCGACUAAUGUUGAAAAAUUAGCGGAUGACCUGUGGCUGGGGGUGAAAGGCCAAUCAAACCGGGAGAUAGCUGGUUCUCCCCGAAAGCUAUUUAGGUAGCGCCUCGUGAAUUCAUCUCCGGGGGUAGAGCACUGUUUCGGCUAGGGGGCCAUCCCGGCUUACCAACCCGAUGCAAACUGCGAAUACCGGAGAAUGUUAUCACGGGAGACACACGGCGGGUGCUAACGUCCGUCGUGAAGAGGGAAACAACCCAGACCGCCAGCUAAGGUCCCAAAGUCAUGGUUAAGUGGGAAACGAUGUGGGAAGGCCCAGACAGCCAGGAUGUUGGCUUAGAAGCAGCCAUCAUUUAAAGAAAGCGUAAUAGCUCACUGGUCGAGUCGGCCUGCGCGGAAGAUGUAACGGGGCUAAACCAUGCACCGAAGCUGCGGCAGCGACACUGUGUGUUGUUGGGUAGGGGAGCGUUCUGUAAGCCGUUGAAGGUGUGUCGUGAGGCAUGCUGGAGGUAUCAGAAGUGCGAAUGCUGACAUAAGUAACGAUAAAGCGGGUGAAAAGCCCGCUCGCCGGAAGACCAAGGGUUCCUGUCCAACGUUAAUCGGGGCAGGGUGAGUCGACCCCUAAGGCGAGGCCGAAAGGCGUAGUCGAUGGGAAACGGGUUAAUAUUCCCGUACUUGGUGUUACUGCGAAGGGGGGACGGAGAAGGCUAUGUUGGCCGGGCGACGGUUGUCCCGGUUUAAGCGUGUAGGUGUGUGUUCCAGGUAAAUCCGGUUCACUUUAACACUGAGGCGUGACGACGAGGCACUACGGUGCUGAAGCAACAAAUGCCCUGCUUCCAGGAAAAGCCUCUAAGCAUCAGGUAACAUCAAAUCGUACCCCAAACCGACACAGGUGGUCAGGUAGAGAAUACCAAGGCGCUUGAGAGAACUCGGGUGAAGGAACUAGGCAAAAUGGUGCCGUAACUUCGGGAGAAGGCACGCUGACACGUAGGUGAAGUGGUUUACCCAUGGAGCUGAAGUCAGUCGAAGAUACCAGCUGGCUGCAACUGUUUAUUAAAAACACAGCACUGUGCAAACACGAAAGUGGACGUAUACGGUGUGACGCCUGCCCGGUGCCGGAAGGUUAAUUGAUGGGGUCAGCGCAAGCGAAGCUCCUGAUCGAAGCCCCGGUAAACGGCGGCCGUAACUAUAACGGUCCUAAGGUAGCGAAAUUCCUUGUCGGGUAAGUUCCGACCUGCACGAAUGGCGUAAUGAUGGCCAGGCUGUCUCCACCCGAGACUCAGUGAAAUUGAACUCGCUGUGAAGAUGCAGUGUACCCGCGGCAAGACGGAAAGACCCCGUGAACCUUUACUAUAGCUUGACACUGAACAUUGAGCCUUGAUGUGUAGGAUAGGUGGGAGGCUUUGAAGCGUGGACGCCAGUCUGCGUGGAGCCAACCUUGAAAUACCACCCUUUAAUGUUUGAUGUUCUAACGUGGACCCGUGAUCCGGGUUGCGGACAGUGUCUGGUGGGUAGUUUGACUGGGGCGGUCUCCUCCUAAAGAGUAACGGAGGAGCACGAAGGUUGGCUAAUCCUGGUCGGACAUCAGGAGGUUAGUGCAAUGGCAUAAGCCAGCUUGACUGCGAGCGUGACGGCGCGAGCAGGUGCGAAAGCAGGUCAUAGUGAUCCGGUGGUUCUGAAUGGAAGGGCCAUCGCUCAACGGAUAAAAGGUACUCCGGGGAUAACAGGCUGAUACCGCCCAAGAGUUCAUAUCGACGGCGGUGUUUGGCACCUCGAUGUCGGCUCAUCACAUCCUGGGGCUGAAGUAGGUCCCAAGGGUAUGGCUGUUCGCCAUUUAAAGUGGUACGCGAGCUGGGUUUAGAACGUCGUGAGACAGUUCGGUCCCUAUCUGCCGUGGGCGCUGGAGAACUGAGGGGGGCUGCUCCUAGUACGAGAGGACCGGAGUGGACGCAUCACUGGUGUUCGGGUUGUCAUGCCAAUGGCACUGCCCGGUAGCUAAAUGCGGAAGAGAUAAGUGCUGAAAGCAUCUAAGCACGAAACUUGCCCCGAGAUGAGUUCUCCCUGAGACUUAGAGUCUCCUGAAGGAACGUUGAAGACGACGACGUUGAUAGGCCGGGUGUGUAAGCGCAGCGAUGCGUUGAGCUAACCGGUACUAAUGAACCGUGAGGCUUAACCUU